This 377-nucleotide ribosomal RNA is filed under the name uncultured bacterium. RNAcentral's name for it is "bacterial SSU rRNA". It matches the Rfam family "Bacterial small subunit ribosomal RNA", at positions 521 to 896 of the family's 1533-position model. The record is from RNAcentral.
UAAUACAGAGGGGGCAAGCGUUAUUCGGAAUUAUUGGGCGUAAAGGGCGCGUAGGCGGUUCUUCAAGUCUCUCGUGAAAUCCCUCGGCUUAACUGAGGACGUGCGGGAGAUACUGAAGGGCUUGAGUCCGGAAGAGGGUGGUGGAAUUCCCAGUGUAGCGGUGAAAUGCGUAGAUAUUGGGAGGAACACCGGUGGCGAAGGCGGCCACCUGGGCCGGAACUGACGCUGAGGCGCGAAAGCGUGGGGAGCAAACGGGAUUAGAUACCCCGGUAGUCCACGCCGUAAACGAUGGGCACUUGGUGUCGCGGGUAUCGACCCCUGCGGUGCCGAAGCUAACGCAUUAAGUGCCCCGCCUGGGGAGUACGGUCGCAAGGCUG